RNAcentral lists this unclassified non-coding RNA (635 nucleotides) under Lasianthus trichophlebus. RNAcentral describes it as "sequence contains ITS1, 5.8S rRNA gene, ITS2". The stretch from base 221 to 353 matches the Rfam family "5.8S ribosomal RNA". Lineage: Eukaryota; Viridiplantae; Streptophyta; Magnoliopsida; Gentianales; Rubiaceae. The record is from RNAcentral.
AACCUGCGGAUCAUUGUCGAAUCCUGCAAGCAGACGACCGCGAACAUGUUAUCAAUUCAAUUGCCCUCGGGCCUCGAAUUUUGUCCUGCUAAGGGGUCGCGAGUCCUGUAACAACUAAACACCGGCACAAAAAGUGCCAAAUAAAACAUUUUGCCCCGCGAUCGCGGGUGACAUGCAGUGGGCGAUGGUUCCAUUAUUGAGUUGAUCGUUUAACCACAACGACUCUCGGCAACGGAUAUCUAGGCUCUCGCAUCGAUGAAGAUGAAUUGCAGAAUCCCGUGAACCAUCGAGUUUUUGAACGCAAGUUGCGCCCAAAGAACACUCCUUCAUCAACCCGUCCGGCCUGGGCGUCACGCAUUGCGUCGCCACCCCACCACUUCUCUUUCGAGUCAUGUGCGGGGUGACGGAUGUUGGCCUCCCGUGCAACGUUUGUGGCGCGGUUGGCCUAAAUGCGAGUCUCUGGCAAUUUCAACAAAUUGUCCUGGGCUACAAGACACAACCAGUGGUGGUUGAUCCUUUUCCUUUUUUUUAGAAGAAAAGAAAUAUUUCAAGAAGUAGUUCCAAUUUAUUGAUUGGCAUUAACCCGGGAUUGUUCUUUCGAGAAAAGAAUUCCACUUUUAGAUCGAGCUCCAUCA